Molecule: non-coding RNA, 1259 nt
Organism: Danio rerio (zebrafish)
Lineage: Eukaryota; Metazoa; Chordata; Actinopteri; Cypriniformes; Danionidae
Source: RefSeq, a predicted model, not a curated record
UAUAAGCAUAACCAUUUCAAGAAUGCACAAGGUACUUUAAACCGUAUGUGUUGAAACUAAAUUAACAAGAAAACAGCUCUUUGAUGUUCACCUAAGAAAAUUAGAUUAGAAGAUGUAAACUGUUAUGCACUUGUUCUGUACUGUUUCAUUCCUUUUUCAAACACUGGCAUUUUUGAAGGUUUAUUUACAGCUAAGGAUUAAGGAUUGACAGGAAGAUUUGUGGACUACAUCAACUAAUGACACUACCUCCAAAGAGUUGCAAAAAGCUGUCCAAAGUUUCAGCACCAUCUUUAAGCCCAUGAUUUUAGUGUGUUUCAUGCCUAAGCACAUGAGUUUAUAUCUGAGAUAGAUGAACUAUAUGAUUGUCUUAAACUGAUCUACAGGUAAAUGCCAAAACUUACUGGUUUACUUAUUUGUUUGUUUGUUUGUUUGUUUUUUUGUAUAUGUUAACCAGGUGAAAUGGAGUGAGGCAUACCAGGAUAUGCCUGGUUUUACUCUUGGGAAGGAGGUUGAACAGUGCAAUAUUUCUUCUAUAGGAUUGCAGUGACCAGACAUGCUACUGUAACUCUCAUGGUCAUGUGCUGGAAUUAGCACAUAUUCAACAAUUUGGCCAUCUCGCUGACCUAUUGAUAUCAGAAGACUGUAACAGCUCUGCAAAGCAAGUUGCAAAACAGAAUCCAUGAAACUGGCAGUGACUGGAAACCAAUUGGAAGACUUUGGUCUGUGAUGUAGAGGAGUGGGCAGACGUAGCAGAAGCAAAGACAACAAAAAACAGAAGUGAUAUGGAUGUCUUCGUCAUAUGGCAUGACUCUGUCGAUCCAGCAACAAAGAGGAGGGUGUUCAACAUCAUCCUGCUGGUCAAGAUUCUUUAGGAGAAGCAGAGGAUUCUUGUGGCAGAGAUGGCCAACCACUAUAAAUACCUUUCAACUCAUCCUGGUUCCUUCAAAGAACUUUCCUGCUUGUUUGCUACUGAAAAAUACUAUUCGAUUUGAUUGGCCUAAACAAAGAGCGGUUAAAAGGUCUAUGGAUCAUCAUUCUCAGAAAGCAACAAAAUAACUGAGAAAUAAACAACAAUACGAUGGUGCAAUCUAGAGACCUGCAAGGUACCUGCAAGUUUUGGCUGGAGCAGAGAACAUAGAUUUUUUUAAAUAAAGCUCCAGCUGCUAAGUAUGACAUUGACUGUGGAUUUUCUUUUACUGUAAUCCAGAAGAGGAUGACCUUAACCCUGAAUCUAAAGCAUGUAACAAAAUCUGUAAAAA